This 459-nucleotide ribosomal RNA is filed under the name uncultured bacterium. RNAcentral's name for it is "partial 16S ribosomal RNA". It matches the Rfam family "Bacterial small subunit ribosomal RNA", at positions 29 to 523 of the family's 1533-position model. The record is from RNAcentral.
AACGAACGCUGGUGGCAGGCUUAACACAUGCAAGUCGAACGCGAAAUCACCUUCGGGUGGUGGAGAGUGGCAGACGGGUGAGUAACGCGUGGGAACCUACCUAGUGGUACGGAAUAACUCAGGGAAACUUGGGCUAAUACCGUAUGUGCCAGAAAGGGGAAAGAUUCAUCGCCACUAGAUGGGCCCGCGUCGGAUUAGCUUGUUGGUGAGGUAACGGCUCACCAAGGCGACGAUCCGUAGCUGGUCUGAGAGGAUGAUCAGCCACACUGGGACUGAGACACGGCCCAGACUCCUACGGGAGGCAGCAGUGGGGAAUAUUGGACAAUGGGCGCAAGCCUGAUCCAGCCAUGCCGCGUGAGUGAUGAAGGCCCUAGGGUUGUAAAGCUCUUUCGGCGGGGACGAUAAUGACGGUACCCGCAGAAGAAGCCCCGGCUAACUUCGUGCCAGCAGCCGCGGUAA